This 253-nucleotide ribosomal RNA is filed under the name uncultured bacterium. Its description in RNAcentral is "partial 16S ribosomal RNA". It matches the Rfam family "Bacterial small subunit ribosomal RNA", at positions 524 to 776 of the family's 1533-position model. The record is from RNAcentral.
CACGUAGGAGGCGAGCGUUGUCCGGAAUCAUUGGGCGUAAAGAGCGCGCAGGCGGCUUGGCAAGUCGAGUGUGAAAUCCCGGGGCUCAACCCCGGGACUGCAUCCGAUACUGUCAGGCUAGAGGUAGGUAGGGGAGAUCGGAAUUCCUGGUGUAGCGGUGAAAUGCGCAGAUAUCAGGAGGAACACCGGUGGCGAAGGCGGAUCUCUGGGCCUUACCUGACGCUCAGGCGCGAAAGCUAGGGGAGCGAACAGG